RNAcentral lists this ribosomal RNA (252 nucleotides) under uncultured bacterium. RNAcentral describes it as "partial 16S ribosomal RNA". It matches the Rfam family "Bacterial small subunit ribosomal RNA", at positions 524 to 776 of the family's 1533-position model. The record is from RNAcentral.
UACGUAGGUGGCGAGCGUUAUCCGGAAUGAUUGAGCGUAAAGGGUGCGUAGGCGGCCUGCUAAGUCUGGAGUGAAAGGUACCGGCUCAACCGGUACAGGCUCUGGAAACUGGCGGGCUAGAGAGCAGGAGAGGGCGGUGGAACUCCAUGUGUAGCGGUAAAAUGCGUAGAUAUAUGGAAGAACACCAGUGGCGAAGGCGGCUCUCUGGUCUGUAACUGACGCUGAGGUUCGAAAGCGUGGGUAGCAAACAGG